This 66-nucleotide transfer RNA is filed under the name Sinopyrophorus schimmeli. RNAcentral describes it as "Elateridae sp. JWH-2018 tRNA-Ala". The record is from RNAcentral. Lineage: Eukaryota; Metazoa; Arthropoda; Insecta; Coleoptera; Elateridae.
AGGAUAAUAGUUUAAAAAACAACAUUUAACUUGCAUUUAAAAAAUAUUGAAUAUCAAUUUAUCUUA